Molecule: long non-coding RNA, 1790 nt
Organism: Oncorhynchus kisutch (coho salmon)
Lineage: Eukaryota; Metazoa; Chordata; Actinopteri; Salmoniformes; Salmonidae
Exons: 3
Source: RefSeq, a predicted model, not a curated record
UUCGUUUCGUUCUGAUCGUGACGUCAUGUAAAAUUUCUCACAGCACGCGCGUCUCUUUGCGUGGAUGGCUGAGCUUCUGCAGAUGUCUCUCUCUCACACCUUCCCUUGACCGCUAAAAUCUUUUCUGUGGGUUCGUGCAUUUGCUACGUCUGCCAAUCCGGAUUCACGCUUCAAAGUGCUGAGGGUUUAUGUGAGGAGUUUUGUAUGCGAUUGCAAGGUCUUGGCACUACUUUUUCGAUUGAUAGGGCAUGUAUUUGUUCAAGACAGUUAUCUCUAAACAGUACCUGGAAACAUUUGCAGGAAGAAACUAUCUACUAGCUAGAAGCAGAAACGGAGAUGGCAGCAGAAAUUGAGACCAAGGAUGUGAAAACACUUCCCUUGUGUGCAUUCAUAUCCUGGUUGGGCAGUUAGACAAAAAGCAGACAUAUCCAUGAACGUGUCCGGUCUUGUUAACUGAAGGCAUGAAAUGCGGAUUGACUAAACGUUGUUACUUUAUCAGCUUUUCAAGUGACUGCCCUCUCCUGAUUCAUAUUUAGUGCUUGAUUUUGCGAAGGUAUUUACAUUCUUAUAAACUCUAAACCCAAAAAGGAUGUCCAGACAAACAGCAAGGUCCUUCUUCCUCGGUGUGUGAGAGCUGAUCCUGAGAAAGGUGACCCUUACAUCCUUUGUGUGAGUGUCCACUUAAUGAUAUAUGCGACACGGUUGAAGACCUAAGACUCAUCUCCACGUCAUUCAAAAUGGCUGGUGCAUGAGGUCUCAUGAGAUACGCAUGUAUUUAAUAUAUUCGACAAGGCUUCGAUGGUGCGUCCAUGUCGAUCAGAGUGUACGCCUCAAAGGGCUUCCGCCAAGGCAUCGGGACUGGACUUGCUGAGAUUAACCCUUAACCCUCUUCAUACUUGAAUUCCAAAACACAUGGGAACUUGUGGUUGGGGUAUAUUAACCCUUUACACUCGUGGGAAUUGGCCUAUAUGGAAUGGGCUGAAUUGAAAUGUUUCUAACAGAAAGAAAUAUGAAACGCAUAUGCAUAAACAUGGUAGCAAUUGAAAGGAAACUGUUUGUAGAUUAUGGGAAAAUUGUUAGACCAAAGGUGAGGACACAACUAUAGCAAAAGCAGAAAUAUGAAUUAAAUCUGAAAAUACUCUGAAUACCAUCAGUAAUAUAAGAAUAUUCCUGGAAAAUAUGGUGUAGGUGCAACACAAACAAAAACAAUUACAAGGGUUUGAGUGAGAGGACUAACUGGUGUCUCCAAGUGGCCGCACACCUCUCUAAAGUGUGCACAGUUCCUAAGUAAUUUCUACGCAUUUUUAUGACUCAAAGAAGAGUCUUCAACUAUAAGGUGUUUUGUCGAGCUCUCCUAGUUGUGCUGCUGAGGAACAAGAGCAAACACACUUGUAGUUGUUUUGUUUGCAACACUUUGCAUCUUCGCGUCACACAAUUACUGUUAUUGUUUACGCCAUUGAGAAACGGUCCAUUAUAAAUCACAGUCUGUGUCAGGUGGGCAUCAUUUGAAAGCAUGUUCUAUUGCCAACAAACUAGCGAAGUUAUAAAAUAUGAUAUUAGGGUUAAUACCUUAACUUGAUUUCCUGAGUUAUAGUUUGAUGUUACUCUGCUGCCUUAAAAUGUUACGUUAUAUCAACCCAGCUAGGCAAUCAAAUAUGUUUCAGUGUAAUAGCUUAUGUCUUACAUGUACAGAACCAGUCAAUGUCACAUGUACAGAACCAGUCAAUGUCACAUGUACAGUACCAGUCAAUGUCACAUGUACAGUACCAGUCAAUGUCACAUGUACAGAA